UCUAAAAAAUAAAAGGUAAUACCUCUUGAGAAACCUUUACUCUUUGACGGCCUUUUUCCUAAUCAGAGGAACUUGUUAAUUUAUCGAAACCACCCGAUUAUUUUCUCUCCCUUUAAAGUCUUUAUACCAUCGUCUUAAGUUUGUACUCACUAGUAACACACAAGAAAACCUUUCUUAGUAAGUCAGAUCAAGGUGAAACCCAUAAAGGAGCCACUAAUGAGUUAUUUAUAAAAACCAUUUAAAGAUUUUAACCAAAAAGUUCCAUGAAUCAAGAUUUGAAAAUACCCUUGAGUUAAAACCUUAGGGGGAAUAAGUAAAAAAAGGUGU
RNAcentral lists this ribosomal RNA (327 nucleotides) under Teyl sp. MYG634. RNAcentral describes it as "partial 12S ribosomal RNA". The record is from RNAcentral. Lineage: Eukaryota; Metazoa; Arthropoda; Arachnida; Araneae; Anamidae.